Papaver somniferum (opium poppy) is the source of this 2448-nucleotide long non-coding RNA. RefSeq lists it as uncharacterized. The transcript has 2 exons. NCBI's taxonomy places the organism in Eukaryota, Viridiplantae, Streptophyta, Magnoliopsida, Ranunculales, Papaveraceae. The record is from RefSeq and is a predicted model, not a curated record.
CUCACAUUUCGUUUCUUUCUUCGACUAGGUUAUUUUUUUGUUGUGCGUUUCACCUUGAUUACCUCUUUGAAUCCCAUAGGAUAAAAUCAAUCAGAAAAUAUGGAUAUUAUUUGAAUGGGGAGUUAAUCGAUCCAACUUUUCCUAAUUAACAUGCUUCUUCUCGAAUCGUGCAUAUGAUUAAUCCUUUCUUUACGCUUUUUUCUAUGAGGAAUCAUUGUUCUGAAAGAGUUUUCUCUAACUUGCAAUAUCUCCCGUUUUUAUAUAAUCGAGGAUCGUUUCUUAUGUAACCUAUAUUUCCAUGCAAGAAAUCUCUUCUCAUCAAUUUGUCUGAAGAGUUUGACAAAUUUUAUCGUGGACGUAAUUUCUCGGUUAUCCUUACUGGGAAGGAAGUCAUGGUGGGAAAUUGUAAGGUGUUUUUUUAAAUUGUAUAGGUCUUUACCGGUGAAAUUCAAAUCCAUGAAUAACAAUUCAUGAAUAGCUUAAGAAUGAUUAUAUUAUUGUUUCCUGCUUCCACAUGUUUCUUUUGAUCAUAUUGUUGAGAAUGAUUUUGCUUUUCAUUUUCAAACGCAAUAAUAUGUAUACCGAGCAAUCCAAAUACACUUUCAGGUUAGCGAUUUUUUUUUUAGUGAUUUGAUGAUAGGUGUUAAGGGUUUCCUGAAUGUUCAUCUCCAUUUUGUAAGGUUUGUUUUAAUGUGCAUGGUGUAUCAUAGUUAUAUCACGGACUCUCCCCUUGAAGAUUCAAGUUCUUAUUUUCGUACAUUCGUGCUCUGUUAACCAUGGGUAUGUGAUUUUACCUUCUGUUCAACCUGAUAAAUAUUUUCCAACUUGAUCUUAGAAGUGCACGGUUUUGUAUGACCAUAAGUAUAAGCCAUAUACGCUUUGCUCUGGGUGCAUGGGUUCUUUAGUUUAUGAGGAUAGACUUUCUAAAAGAUUUUGUUUUUAUGUAUUUCCUACCAUCUUUGAUCUUUCAGUUAUAUGUAUUGCUUAUCACUUUCAUGUUUUCGUAUUUGUGGAGCAGAUAUGCCUUUAAACUUGAGCUUACACUGUUAGAGAGGGUGAGAGUCGUGGGACUCUUAGACGUGGUUUUCAGUUUGUUGAGCUAAUACUCAAUAUGCACAUGAUGAUUCGUUACUGAGUAGUAUCCAAAAGUAACUAUUGUUAACUUUGAAGCUUAUUAUGCCAAUUUUUCGCAGCAUCACUCUAUUAGAGGCGUUGCCACUUUUUUAUUCCUGCGGGAGUAGAUGUAUGCAAAUCACAUCUAGACUGUUGUCUAAGACUUCAAUGCUAUACGUUUGGCUUGGCAGAGGCUGCAAGGGGGACAUAGUUGGAAAAUUAAUGGUCCAACUAAAGCAAAUAUGUUCAGCAAUUUUGCAUUGACCGAGGAAAUUUGAAGGAUUAAACAUCUCAUUUCCUAAUGAUUUCGCUUGCCCAGAUUGACAGAUUUACGUUGAAGAUUGGGACUGAUACCUAAUACUGAGAAGUACUUUGUUCAAUCCUUUGAAACUGCUGAACGGUAAGUGUUUCAGGAUUAUACGAUCCCAAUGGUUGAUCUAUUUUUUACUCGCUUCUUUGAACUUGCCAAUCUGUUUUGUGCUAUGAGUAGUAUGUUUGUUGUUUAAUACGCUUAUAAUUCCCUUUCAUUGGUUUUCUAACUAUGUACCUGAUGGCUGAUAUUUUUGUAGGAUGUUGAGUUCUUUCUUUCAUUUGUUGUUUUUAUUAAUUACCUGAUGCUGAUAGUUUUGUGCCAUGAGUUGGAUAUUGAGUUCUUACAUAUUUAAUUAAACUUGGGUUCUCUUAAGGUCUUGAAUUUUUUAACAGUGACAUCCUUCUUAAUUGCUAAGAUACUCAUAGUUUCUUGUUUAGUUAACCAAUCUCGCCCUUUAUUGGCUCAAUAUGAAAUCAAAUAGGGAUAUGAUUGUUAUUAGCAUGACCAGUUUGUGUGUAGAAGGGAAAAACAGAAGUUACUAACUGUAAACAGAUGUCACUUUAUUUGUAGAGCAACAGUUCAAUUACAUAUUUGAAUUGCAUCAAAUGCUGACAAGUUAGUUUUUUGUUCCGUAAAAAACCCUAUGGUUUUAACUAUUUGUGAAUGAAUCCUCCAUAUCAUUUUUCAUCUGAUACAUGAGUUGACUGCCAAAACAACGCCAUUACUUGCAAAUGAAAUUCAUGUACAUGAGGAAAAAAUGAAAAAAUCGGUGGCUUAUCAAUGGAAAAGACAAUAGUCAGCGUGGAUGGUGCAUCAGGUGGUAUUGCUAAAAAGGCGAUAAUUCCCUCCAAAGGUUCGGCUUUUAUACGCUCCUCUACUGUCAUGAUUUCUGAUUUUUCUUAUGUUAUUUGUUUGUCAUAAGUUCUCUUCAAUGGCAAGAAUCCUCAACCUAAAUCUUUGUAAUAACACAGACUUCAGUUGUCAUUGUUGUUUACAUAUUUGGUAUUUGAUUUCUUUAGUCA